Gasterosteus aculeatus aculeatus (three-spined stickleback) is the source of this 2455-nucleotide long non-coding RNA. NCBI's taxonomy places the organism in Eukaryota, Metazoa, Chordata, Actinopteri, Perciformes, Gasterosteidae. The record is from Ensembl.
ACACACACACACACAGGUAUCACCAGAGAUUGCCAUGACAGUAGUCACACACACUUGUGGGUGUACAAGGGCGAGAGAUUUUAUCUAUGGGAUUGUGUGUGUGUGUGUGUGUGUGUGUACUGACUCUUGUUCUUGCGCAGCAGGGCAGAGGCAAUCCAGGGUUCUGUUUGGACCAUCCUGAGAGAGGGCACGGGCUUGUCCUCCACGGAUGAUGAUGAUGAUGUGAUCACCAUGGAGAUGAUCGACAAGUAAUCAAUCCAGCAGGGAAACACUGUCAAUCAAAACGCUUUGAUGGGUGGGUGGGGCUCGUGAAGGGAGUUUCAGUCUGUCAUGAGAUACGUCUUUUCAAUCCCCGAGUUCGCUUCAGCAGUUUACAUCCAACUGAAUCAAUGAAUCUUGAAAUGGUGGGAAACCGACCGACCAAUCAAAAGGCACCUUCUUCUCUGGCUUCUUUCUUUUCCUUUUUUGUGACUGUGGUUUCUAAGGCAACCAACUGGUGUACAGGCAGCUUGUCUCUCUGGAGUAAAAAUAUAAAAGGAUGUAAUCUCUGUCUUCGGUGGAGUUACACUAUAGAUAUAGAUCUCUCAUUCUACAUAUAUAUUAUGUUUCUCUGUGGGUAUGGGGAGUCUGGGAAGUUAGAAUAUUUGGUUAUUCAGGUUAGCUUUUUUAUUUUGUUGGUUUCGGCAGUUUCAUGCAUUCUUCCUGUGUGCUGGAGAUUAGUACUGCUCCAGGGCGCUGGUGACUGAUAUUUUAAAUUAGUCAGAAAAAGUAGGCCUUUUCUUUCUUUGUAUGGUAAUGGGUGGUUACUCUGAGUACGACUUGCUUGUGAUGGGUUCACUUAGUCCAGGGCAGGUUCAACCAAAAAUACACAGCUAAUAGUUCUUCAGACAUCUUAGUCGUAAUCCAGUACAGGGUAUUUUGUGUGUCCGGUGCAGCCUUGACCAGUAGAACACAGUGCAGCUAGUAUUCCCGGGUUAACAAGACGCCGUGGUCAGCAUGGUUCAAACGGAUCCUUUAUUUCGCAGCGGAAUAAGUUCAUCCAAUUGUUGUUAUUAUUCCACCCUACUUCUGAAAAUACAUUAACUAGCUGCAAGUCGCGUGUGUGCUAACCAGGCUCGCCCAGCAUGCUGCCGGGGCGGCUGAGCGAGGCAGUGUGACAGCAGGGGGGCAAGAGAAGGAAGUGGAGGGGAGUUGGGUUUCCCGCUGCCUGCUUUUACCCCAUCCCUUACGCUAAAUAUAGCUCCGAUUACAGGCGCGUUCUGGGGCUGGACCCGUCACUGGACCCAGUGGGGGAAUGAUGCUACAGCUCGGAUUAAUCCCAGUGACACGGACACACGCGGCCCUCCGCUGGUAAUGUCACAGGGCCCGGACAGCCAACAGCCCCCCCGAGGCCUCCGCUCCCCCUCACCCGCCUCCAGCGGGAGGUGGCUGGCCUCUGCCAAGGUGAACAGGAGCCCUUUUCUCUUUUUUUUUUAGAAAAGCCAGACAAUAACGUAAUCCCCGCACGCCGCGCAGGGGCCGUAUCUGUGACAACAAGCCGUUUACACAAACGCCUGUAAACGAACCAGCUCGCCGCGACGUGUUGAUUCCACGGAGACGUGCAGCUCCGGGGGGGGGGAAGUUCCGCUCACCGGAUAUCCACAACUCACGGGCCGCCGGGGCGGUUUGCAGGAACAGCGUGAUUACAAGCAGGGGCAAUGCGCCUUAACUGCACACCUUUCACUUUUUGUGACAAAGCCGGGGGGGAGACAAAAGUUUAAAUCCGGUGUUCGGGGUUAGAUGGCAAAUGUCUUCCCGUGUUGAAGAAACGCAGAGGACAAGCCGCUGGCGGCCUGCAUCGUACUUCCAAACUCCGACGGCGCCUUCUGUUUACCAACGCGUAACACGAUCCAAGAGGAAGUCUGAGUGUGUGCGGCCUUACUGACUUUGCUGCAUCGUGCCAGUGUGAAAGCAUCCCAAUGAAGAACGCCUAGUGAUGUCACACACAUCUCAUCUCCAGAGGUGUGUAGCAUUCACCAUCAUCUAAGAAUCAUGGACACAGUUCAAAGACCCACCGACCCGCCUUCUCCUCCAUCCCAGUCUUCAUACGAUGGACUUAGGUCACAUGAUGGCAGCGGGUUGGAGACCACCGAUGGUCUCUGGCCUCGGGUGUUAAUGUGGCUCCUCGUCUUCCUACAGACGCCUGCGACAGGACUUGGUUGGGUUUGGUCCGAGGAGACUGACCAGCUUUGAUUUGACUUUGCUGCUCUGUCACACUACGGACAAUUCUGCUUGGAGAUCCUCAAAUGAACACACAGGUUUGUGAACUUAUACUGGUCUCGUGAACAGUUGGAGAAACCUCAGUACUUUUAACCUUUUUGACGAAAAACAAACUUUCCGAGAUAAGCAAUGUUAGCAAGACAAUAAAAUGUCAAUUCUAUUCAUGAUUAAUGGUAAUAAAUAUCUGAUUUUUCUU